UGGCUCAGUUGGUAGAGUGUUUGCCUUGCAAGCAUAAGGCUCUGGGUUCGAUCCCCAG
Molecule: transfer RNA, 58 nt
Filed under: Ictidomys tridecemlineatus (thirteen-lined ground squirrel)
Lineage: Eukaryota; Metazoa; Chordata; Mammalia; Rodentia; Sciuridae
Description: Spermophilus tridecemlineatus (thirteen-lined ground squirrel) tRNA
Rfam family: tRNA
About the family: Transfer RNA (tRNA) molecules are approximately 80 nucleotides in length. Their secondary structure includes four short double-helical elements and three loops (D, anti-codon, and T loops).
Source: Rfam by way of RNAcentral